Molecule: ribosomal RNA, 512 nt
Filed under: uncultured Sphingobacteriales bacterium
Lineage: Bacteria; Pseudomonadati; Bacteroidota; Sphingobacteriia; Sphingobacteriales
Description: bacterial SSU rRNA
Rfam family: Bacterial small subunit ribosomal RNA
Source: RNAcentral
AGGGUUUGAUCCUGGCUCAGGAUGAACGCUAGCGGCACGCUUCAUACAUGCAAGUCGAGGGGCAGCAUAAAGUACUUGUACUUUGAUGGCGACCGGCGAACGGGUGCGUAACGCGUAUGCAACUUACCUUUUACUAGAGAAUAGCCAAGAGAAAUUUUGAUUAAUGCUCUAUACUCUUUUUAACUCACAUGAGUUUUUAAGAAAAGCUCCGGCGGUAAAAGAUGGGCAUGCGUCCUAUUAGCUUGUAGGUGAGGUAACGGCUCACCUAAGCUCCGAUAGGUAGGGGUCCUGAGAGGGAGAUCCCCCACACUGGUACUGAGACACGGACCAGACUUCUACGGAAGGCAGCAGUAAGGAAUAUUGGACAAUGGAGGAAACUCUGAUCCAGCGAUGCCGCGUGAAGGAGGACGGCCCUAUGGGUUGUAAACUUCUUUUAUACAGGAAGAAACCUUUCCACGUGUGGAAAGCUGACGGUACUGUAAGAAUAAGGAUCGGCUAACUCCGUGCCAGCC